Onychostoma macrolepis is the source of this 8790-nucleotide long non-coding RNA. RefSeq lists it as uncharacterized. The transcript is spliced from 3 exons. NCBI's taxonomy places the organism in Eukaryota, Metazoa, Chordata, Actinopteri, Cypriniformes, Cyprinidae. The record is from RefSeq and is a predicted model, not a curated record.
AACUGAUAAGAGGAACACACAUUUAACUCAUUUGAGCUAGUAUGGCUAUAUUAGCCAGCUUACAUUUGAUUUACAGUUACUGCUAUCAUAAAAAUACACUUAUAUGUAGGAUUAAAAUUCUACGUGUCACAUUUAAUGUCCAACAACAAAUAUUUUAUUCAGAAUUCUUGCGCUAUUAUUCUGUUCUUCUCCGUCUGUGUAACGUGCAUGCGCUCAGCAGUGCUCGCUAAGCCUCGCCCACUCCUGACAGCAAAAUGGAUAUAUUUGCAUUACUUUCUAACAUUUACAGAUGAGAAAUAUACCUGUGACGUGUCAGUUAUGCACUGAGGAAAACACAACGUCUCAAAUGCAUUAAACAACACAAAUAUUCGCUGUUUGUCAUGGUGGAUCGAUUUGAUCCAUGAUCGACAUUAAGGGCUGCUUAAGAAUAAGCGUGCACAUCAAAUUAUCCUGACUCACUGAACCUGGAUCGCAUUAGUGAGAUUGCGUGAACUUAAAUUGUCAUUUAUGAAACCGCUUUAGUCCCGAUUGAUUUGUUAGGCUAUUUCAAGUCAGGUUUUGGACUUUAAUCCCCGCUUUUCUUAGUGUCUUUUAUGGAACAGGCCCCUGAUCCAGCUGAUCAAGUCCUUCAGGUUUAUUUGAAAACUACAUGAUAUGUGUGUUGGAGCAGGGUUGGAACUAAACUCUGCAGGGACACCCCUGUCCUAGACCAUUCUUGUGAUUUUCACCAAAUUUGACUCAGAUCAUCUUCAGACCAUGCUGGCAAAAAGUUGUGGAUUUUGUGUCGAUAUACGAAACGGUUGUCGUUUAAUGCCUUCUCUGGUCUAGACUCGGGGACUGGAGCCUUCUCUGGGCUAGACUCGGGGAUAGAAGCUCUCUCUGGGCAAGACUGGGGAGACCAUGAGGUAGGUAUCAGGUAAGUGAAGGUGUCUUUAUUUGACAGGUUAACUGGAAGCAUAGAGGCAGAGCAACAACAGGUGAGCAGGUACAUCUCAGGUAAGAUCAGCCAGCUUAGCAUGAUUUGCUUAUUGGAGCUUAUCCCUUUCUUUCCACAGGGUUUCAAAAUGGGCUUGACAGAAGAUGAGGAUCUGGAUGAAAAGGUAAGGAUACAGGCGUAGGGUGAGCCAGGUAAGUCCUUGGUAGCGACUUUAAACCUCUGAGGUCGACAAACGUGGAUAUGCGUUUUGAGGCAGAUUUUCCUGAUAAGGCCGAAAUGAGCUUGAAUUAUUCUGCCAUUUUUGAUCGUACAGAUAAGAGCAAUACACCAUUCGAAUCUGUAAGGGGUCUACUUUUAUUUGUAUACACUCAUAAUAACAACUAAACUUUGUGCUUUUGAAGAAUAAAGAAAACAGAGUGCGUUCUCAGUCUUCACUCUUUCCGCGAACUGCUUUUUGAAACACGUCACUAAAAUGAACUGUAACUCAGCAAAUACUCCACAGAGACAUGAGAAAUACAGGUGUGUCUCAAUAAAUUAGAAUGUCGUGGAAAAGUUAAUUUAUUUCACUAAUUCAACUCAAACAUUUUUAGUGAGUUGUUGGCCUUCUGGAAAGUAUGUUAAUUUACUGUAUAUGUACUCAAUACUUGGUAGGGGCUCCUUUUGCUUUAAUUACUGCCUCAAUUCGGCGUGGCAUGGAGGUGAUCAGUUUGUGGCACUGCUGAGGUGGCCUUUGACAGUGGCCUUCAGCUCGUCUGCAUUUUUUGGUCUCUUGUUUCUCAUUUUCCUCUUGACAAUACCCCAUAGAGAGGUUCAGGUCUUGUGAAGUUCACCCAAAUUCUUGAAUCGAUUUUGCUUGACAAUCCUCUGCGGUUCUCUCGGUUGGUUGUGCAUCUUUUUCUUCCACACUUUUUCCUUCCACUCAACUUUCUGUUAACAUGCUUGGAUACAGCACUCUGUGAACAGCCAGCUUCUUUGGCAAUGAAUGUUUGUGACUUACCCUCCUUGUGAAGGGUGUCAAUGAUUGUCUUCUGGACAACUGUCAGAUCAGCAGUCUUCCCCAUGAUUGUGUAGCCUAGUGAACCAAACUGAGAGACCAUUUUGAAGGCUCAGGAAACCUUUGCAGGUGUUUUGAGUUGAUUAGCUGAUUGGCAUGUCACCAUAUUCUAAUUUGUUGAGAUAGUGAAUUGGUGGGUUUUUGUUAAAUGUGAGCCAAAAUCAUCACAAUUAAAUUACUGAACUUUCAUUCAUCAGAAAACUUAAUGAAUUAUAAUUGGUCAAAUCAAUAUGUAAUAUUUUGUGGAGUAGAUCUCAAGCAUUCAGUGUGAAAGUAAGUUAUUAUUAAUGACGAUGCAUGUCUGAUGAUUUUAAUCAUUGAAUUUUCCAUUGUUAAAAGUAAAGACUGCUGAUGGUUUAUUUUAACUGUUUGUAUAUACAAGAGUGAUAAAAAUUAAUUCUGUGGUAAUUCAUGUUCGAAUAAGAGGUAUAUUGUAAUGCAAUGGUGGUUAUGAUAAUGGGUGUGGUAUUUAAAUGUAAGUUGUUGUAUAUUGAAAUGCAGUAUGUAAGCUUUUAAUGAAUGAACAUUGGUAAAUGAACGAUAACGUCAAAUUGGUGAUUUUAAAAAGUGGGUGGAGGAUUUGUAUUGUUUAGCACACUGAGGAAGGCCUCUGAGCCAAAACGUUUGUGUCCUUGUCCUAUUGGUGAUAAAUGUAGAAUAAAAUGAAAAAAAAGACUGUUUCAGGUGAGUGCGGAUCAUGGAUUUGUAUAAUAAGUGAUUUAAUGGAUUAACGCACCUAAACAAAAGAUCAAGCAACGGAAGAGCAUGGUGCAAACUACUUUUGUGGAACACUAUUAGUAUGUUAAAAUGAAAAUGAAAAGAGGCAAUGCUGUUUGAUAUAUUUUGUAUCACUGUAAUGUUAACAUUCCUGCAUUCCUACAAUUCUGCAGCUAUUAAUAUGUUCAAAUGAAAAUGAAAAAAGGCAGUGGUGAUUGAUAUCAUAUUUUGUCUUAUUGUAAAUACAGUGUGGAAAAUUGCAGUAGCCAAGGUUAGCUGACAGACAUUAUCAAGUGCGCUGCUGUUCCAUUUGUAGAAUUAUCGGACUUGUGUUGUCCCGUUCCCAGGAGUUCACACUUAUGGUAUGCUGGUGCGAUUUGGCUUCCACUCUUCUCUCCGAACAGAUAUUUUUAGAUGUUUGUUAAAUAAACAUCUAGAGUUUAAGUAUGCUGUUUUUAUCACCUGUGUCUUGUUUCGUUUAUGCAGUGAUGCGUUGUAUUUUACCUACGUCCGCCGGGAUUUUGCUUCUAUUGGUGUUGGCCUGGAGGCUUUCUUUUGGCUUUGUGGACUUACAGGUGUGCCUAUUUGGAGCUGGUGUUGACGCGGCUUUAACGAACAUGGCCUUACUGUACACCUCCCGCCAGCUUUAAAGACACCUAUGACCACUGUGACAGGGCUGGAUUGCUGUGGUCCAAGCGGUACACUCAUUGGAGCUCUGGGCGAAACUAUGUUUCUUCCUCGUCUUCUUCCAUCCCAGUUCAACUGCUGAUGAAGGAUCAGAAGACGGUCUCAUUCUGGUGUUGACUUUACUAACUUAUCAUUUCUGCCGUGUGAGUUGAAUUCUUGCACUGCGGUGACUGCAAGCCCUUUAAAUGUCGCGUUAUUAAAUGUGCGCUCUGUGAACAAUAAAGCUUGCUUCUGUCAUAUUUUAUCAUGGACAAUAAGCUGGACUUGUUGCUUCUUACGGAAACUUUGCAUAAACAGGACAAUGGUCGUCUUUUUAAUCAGCUGACUCCAGCAUGCUUUGGACUCUUUGAUGUCUCACGGACUACAGGUAGAGGUGGUGGUAUUAUAGUGGUCUGUAAACUGCAAUACAAUAUACACCCUGUGUCCGUACCUCUUCUUAAAACAUUUGAAUGCCUUGUCUCAAGUGUAUCUUCUCAUGCUGUUCCCCAUGCUGCUGUGGUCACUAUUUAUAGACCUCCAAAAUCAAAUAAAGAUUUUUUCUCCAAGUUUAAUGAUCUACUGUCCAUGUUGUCUGUCAAAUUUAAGAGAAUUUUGAUUCUGGGUGACUUUAACAUACAUGUAGAUCAGAAAGCCUGUGCUAUGGCCAAGGAUUUUCUAUCCCUCUUGGACUGCUUUAAUCUCUCUCAGUUUGUAAAUGUUCCCACUCACUGUAAAGGUCAUACAUUGGAUUUAGUCAUUGCAAAUUAUUAUUUUCUCUCUAACUUUUCUGUUGUGGAUGUUGGUCUUUAUGACCAUUUAGCUAUCUUCUUUAAUAUUGAGAUAUCACAUUCUAGUAGAGACUUCACAUAUUAUUUCACUCCAUAAAUUAGAUUGUCUCUUCUUUAGAUGUUAUUUUAUUAUUUAACAAUGCCCUCACAACCAACUUGGACAUCUUUGCUCCCAUACAAAUACGUAAUGUCUCAUUUGUAAAGUUGUCCCCUUGGUAUAAUGAUGAUUUGUGAUCACAGAAGAUUGGAAAUUGAAGCAAAAGGGGCGUUUCUUUGGUUUAAAUGUGUUCCACCAAACUUGGAAAAACUGCUUGGCACACUACAGAGUAGCUAUUGAAACUGCAAGAUCUACAUACUUUUCGUGUCUUGUUGAAAAUAAUCAAAACAAUCAUAGACAGCUUUUUCAUACAAUUAACAGUCUACUUAAUGUAGAUAGUGCCAGUUCUUUGACAUCAUCCGAUUGGUUGUGCAAUGAUUUUCUCAAAUUUUUCAGUGACAAUGUUCGCACAAGUAUUCGUAGUUCCUUUGGGUCUGCUGUUUUAACAGUCAACACAUUAAGCUUUUCUGGCAUUUCAUUUUCCAAAUUUACUCCAUUAUAAUCUGAAUUACUCUGCAAGCAGGUUUCUCGUAUGAAAGCUUCCAUUUGCAUACUUGAUCCUUUGCCUUGUAGCCUGUUUAAAUCUCGCUUUGAUCCUUUAUGUCCCUCAGUUCUUGCUAUAAUAAAUGACUCCUUGUCAACUGGUGUGGUGCCAGCAGAACUUAAAACUGCUGCUGUCACUCCUAUUUAAAAAAAAAAAAGAGCUUUAAAACGGUUUUUAAAACUCUGAUGUGAACAUUAUUUCAAAUUUUCGCCUGAUCUCAAAUUUUCCAUUCCUGGCUAAAAUCUUAGAGGUUGUGGUUGCGGCAAAAAACAAAAACUGUAUUUGGUUUGUCAGAGACAGUUAUUGGCUGGUUUAGGUCCUAUCUUACUGACCGCAGUCGAUUUGUUUUUAUGGGUGUCUAUAGACCCAAGGUUGGUCCUGUUCAUACUGGUGUCCCACAGGGGUCAGUAUUGGGUCCAUUACUUUUAGUAUGUAUAUUUACUCACUUGGCCUUAACACUUCUAUGGUGAUGAUACUCAAAUUUAUAUUCAUUGAAGACUAGGUCAACAUGUGGACAUUGUGCAUCUUUCUAACUGUAUCACUUAGAUCAAGAAUUGGAUGUCUAAUAAUUUUCUGUCUUUAAAUAGCUCCAAAACGGAAGUUAUGCUCCUCGGCUCUCCCCAUCAACUGCGAAAUACUGGUUCUCUUACUUUGUCUGUUGAUGGUGUUGCUUUGGAGUUUCAAAGCAAACUAAAAAAUCUUGGUGUCAUCUUUGAUACUACGCUGUCAUUCAAGCCUUUUGUGCAGAAUACAGUUAAUACAUCCUUUUUUCACCUCAGAAAUAUAGCACGUUUACGUCCUAUGUUGUCCUUCUCAGUUGCUGAGAGGUUGAUAAAAUCUUUUGUCUUUUCACAUGUUGACUAUUGUUAUGGUCUUCUUGCUGGAGUAUCUAAAUUCUCCGUUAACAAACUUCAAUAUUUACAAAAUUCAGCUGCUAGAAUUCUGUCUGUGGUCAGGGCUGGUGAUCAUAUUACCCCUGUUUUGGAGUCUUUGCACUGGCUCCCAUGUCAGGUACCGUAUUGAUUUUAAAAUUCUUAUGCUAACAUAUAAGGCUUUGCAUGAUCUGACUCCUCUGUACUUGACUGACGUUUUAAUGCCUUACACACCAUGUCGUAAUCUGCAUUCCUCUCAGAGUGGUCUUUUAGUUGUUCCCAAGACACAGCUUGAGGGGUGUAAGAGCAUUUUCUUCUUAUGCUCCUAAGCUUUGGAAUUCUCUCCCAGCAGACAUCAGGGAAGCAAAUUCACUAGACUUUUAAAACUCUCCUUAAAGCAUUCUAUUUUAGGAUUGCUUUUACUUGAUUAUUCAUUUUAUGUUUGCAUUGUUUGUUGUAUAUUUAUUGUAUUUAAAGUGUAUUAUUAUUAUUAAGAAAUCCUAUAAUGUUUGUUAUAAUCCUCCCUUCUGUCCUCUGGCAAAAGAACACUGAAUUCUGUUGUUUUUUCUGCUCAAGUGAAAUCGAAAGUAAACAGAUCUCUGCAGGAAAAGACCAAAUUACAGUAAAAGAUUUAAUUGGUGUCUGUGUGUCUGUGUGAGAGAGAGAGAGAGAGAGAGAGAGAGAGAGAAUUUAUUAAUAUAAUGUGAUAAACAUUAGCCUUCCUUGACUCAAAUCUUUGUGCUUUUGUUUCUGUUGUUGUUUCCAAUCCUGUGACACUGAAAGAGUUAAUGUAUAGACCUUGGCCAUGUUGAAAUCAUAAAGAAAAUUAAUGCUGCCCAAGACUUGCAGCACAUCAGUUAUGAUCCCUAAAUCCAUUAAAUCCUAAGAAAAGUUCAAAUGGGAUAUUAUACCACAGGGUGAUUCAUCUGUGAUUAUGUGUCAAGCACAGUUGUGCACUCAAACACACUUAGACUGACCUUUACAUGCUAUUGCCAUUCUGUCUUGCAGUUCUACUGUUUGUUUUUGUCUUUAGGAGUCUCAAGUUUUGGACUGUUGCACUAUUUCCCCUCAGAACUUUCUGUUAAAAAAAACCCACUAUUGGGGUUGUAUUCAUGCGUCUUAGUUUCCUUUGCAAUACAUCAAAGUUGACUCCCACGCUGCAUCUAUCCAGCGAGCCAAUCAGUGCUCCGCAGGUCAGCUGUGCCGCCCACUGAACUGAGUCAGAGGUGAAAGCUGUAUUGUGAUCUUUGCUAACGGUGUGUGCGUGCCUAUAAAAGAAAGCACACACACACAUGCAAAGCAGAAUUUCUUCAGUGUACUGAGUUGUGGUGACAAUAAAUGGGUUAUUCCCGCGUACCUGAUCAUCUCUGGUAAAAGUCUCUAACCUGAUGCUUCAUAGCAGAUCAGCUCACCUGUUCAAACGGAUCACUUCAACCUCCUAGACAAGCCAUGGAGUUUGAGAACAGCAAAGAAGGAUGUAACAACUGCAGAAAGAAUUGCGAUGACAAAUGCCAAUGUCAUACAAUAACCCAAAGUCCUAAACCUGAGCAAAGGACUGAGGAGAAGACGUCUGAGACGCCUGAAGGGCCUUCAAAAGAGUGUGGCUUCUGUGAUUGCUGCUACUGUUAUUUCGUCCCCUGUGACCCUUGUGAUUGUGGCUCCGGUGAUGGUGGCUCAUGUGAUUGUGGCUCAUGUGAUUGCGGCCCCUGUGAUUGUGGCUCCUGUGAUUGCGGCUCCUGUGUUAUUCAGUGAAUGUUUGCAGGAUGUUGGUCAGACAGGUGAGAAACAUUUGUCUCUUUAAUGGCUGCUUCUAAAAAUAUGGACAUUUUACAAUUUCUUUCCAGUUUUAUCAAAGUUUUAUCUAAUUGUGGCUGUUUAAAUGCACUCUGAACAUUGAUCAGUACUUCCACAACAUUUGAAAAUCUUAAUGAUAAUUUCAACAUUCACUAAUGCAUAUUCAAAUUAAAAAUUGUGCCAGCAUUAUCUAGUGCACUGUGAAUUAACAUGAAUAAACAUUCACAAAGGUUAAUAAAUGUAGCUCAAAUACAUGUUUCAUUGUUAGACCACACCAGCUUGUGCAUUAAAGUGAACAAAUGAAACUUUAUUGCAAAGUGUUAGUAAAAAGUAAAAGUGACAAGCUUUUAUUUAAUUCUUAACCUAGUGAAAAAAUAAAUAUACUAAAAUUUAUUUGAAAUACAUUUUUUACUAUUAAGUAUAUUACAAAUACAUUUACAUUUUUAUGUACUUAAUAAAAAUACCCUGUAAUUGUACUUUUGGUAUACUUAAAUUGGAACAACUAAUUUUGUACUUAAUGCAUUUAAGUAGUGCUGAGGUCCAACUAAAGAUAGUAGAAAGUAUAUUUGAUUGUCCUAAAGUGGAACUAUUGCAAAUGUACUUCAGGUACACUUUCAAUAUUUUGCAUGUGAAGACUGAUAUUAUUCAAAGAUCAUACAAUCCUUAUCAAUAUUGACAUUAAAACACAUUUUAGUCUUAAGAAAUUCUUAUUAAGAAAUGUGCAUUGUGCACAAGUAGUACUCCAUAAAGUUUAAUUAUAUAUUUUUAUCAGUAAGUCUUUUGUGAUAUGUCCAUACAUAUGUUAAUAGGUUAGAACUAUCUUAGUAUGAAAUAAAUGUAUUUUAAAUAUUACUUUUUACUAGGGUAAAUAUGUCAUUUUUAUGGUUGUUUUGAUUUUUUAACUUAUAGAAAAGACACUGCUCAUUUCAACCUUUUUAUUGGUAGGCAUAGAAAAUAUUUCAUGUUAAUACUAAACCUUGUUUUUAUCAUUAUUAUUAUGAAGUAAUUCAUCUGUCCUGAGUUAGAUGGAUUUGUGGAGACAACGCAGUACUCAAGACAGGUUUCAGCUCCAGUGUAGAACAUCAUCAACACAAAGACAACACCACUGUGAUCUACAAUAAACAUCAGGACAUCUUUAGUGCCAUCAUGGAUGUUAAACACCAUAAAGACAAUAUUAUCUGUACAUAUAAAUACAGUUCCAGCCAAAAGAUCAAAGUAAACUAAAUAGCAAAUCAGUUAAAUGCUGAAUGUUUUUUUUUCUCUGAAUAUCUGUAUUUUUAAGAAAAUUUGUGUUUUAAUUUUAAAAAAUGUUAGAUUUUAC